UGGAAAUGGACUGGUUAUCCAUCCGUGUAAUUUGCUGGAAGACACCAAUUGGUGCUUCCACCGCACUUAGUCAGGUUGGAAAAAAGGAAAAAAGACCUAUGUAAGCAAAUCCAAAAACUACACUUGCAAGUAAGAAGAACAUUUAUUCAAUCCAGCUACAAAGGAAUGUAGGUUAGCAUUCGCAACUCAAACACAUAUUCCUUUUCCAAAAAAAAAAGACUCAAACACAUAUUCCAUCAC
RNAcentral lists this long non-coding RNA (240 nucleotides) under Elaeis guineensis (African oil palm). RNAcentral's name for it is "long non-coding RNA (EGUI_LNC034900)". The record is from RNAcentral. Lineage: Eukaryota; Viridiplantae; Streptophyta; Magnoliopsida; Arecales; Arecaceae.